GUAGGUGGCAAGCGUUGUCCGGAAUUAUUGGGCGUAAAGCGCGCGCAGGGCGGUCCUUUAAGUCUGAUGUGAAAGCCCACGGCCCAACCGUGGAGGGUCAUUGGAAACUGGGGGACUUGAGUACAGAAGAGGAAAGCGGAAUUCCAAGUGUAGCGGUGAAAUGCGUAGAGAUUUGGAGGAACACCAGUGGCGAAGGCGGCUUUCUGGUCUGUAACUGACGCUGAGGCGCGAAAGCGUGGGGAGCAAACAGGAUUAGAUACCCGGGUAGUCCACGCCGUAAACGAUGAGUGCUAAGUGUUAGGGGGGUUUCCGCCCCUUAGUGCUGCAGCUAACGCAUUAAGCACUCCGCCUGGGGAGUACGGCCGCAAAGGCUGA
RNAcentral lists this ribosomal RNA (375 nucleotides) under uncultured organism. RNAcentral's name for it is "partial 16S ribosomal RNA". It matches the Rfam family "Bacterial small subunit ribosomal RNA", at positions 527 to 897 of the family's 1533-position model. The record is from RNAcentral.